GACGAACGCUGGCGGCGUGCUUAACACAUGCAAGUCGAACGGAAAGGCCCUGCUUUUGUGGGGUGCUCGAGUGGCGAACGGGUGAGUAACACGUGAGUAACCUGCCCUUGACUUUGGGAUAACUUCAGGAAACUGGGGCUAAUACCGGAUAGGAGCUCCUGCUGCAUGGUGGGGGUUGGAAAGUUUCGGCGGUUGGGGAUGGACUCGCGGCUUAUCAGCUGGUUGGUGGGGUAGUGGCUUACCAAGGCUUUGACGGGUAGCCGGCCUGAGAGGGUGACCGGCCACAUUGGGCCUGAGAUACGGCCCAGACUCCUACGGGAGGCAGCAGUGGGGAAUAUUGCACAAUGGGCGGACGCCUGAUGCAGCAACGCCGCGUGCGGGAUGACGGCCUUCGGGUUGUAAACCGCUUUCGCCUGUGACGAAGCGUGAGUGACGGUAAUGGGUAAAGAAGCACCGGCUAACUACGUG
This 468-nucleotide ribosomal RNA is filed under the name uncultured bacterium. RNAcentral describes it as "partial 16S ribosomal RNA". It matches the Rfam family "Bacterial small subunit ribosomal RNA", at positions 28 to 507 of the family's 1533-position model. The record is from RNAcentral.